CAGGCCUACACAUGCCAGUCGAGCGGCGGUGGUAGCAUACCAUUGGCGGCGACGGCGGACGGGUGAGGGACACAUCGGAAUCUACCUAUUUGUGGGGGAUAACGUAGGGAAACUUACGCUAAUACCGCAUACGAGCGUGCAUCGACAGGUGCGCACUGAAAGCCGGGGACCUUCGGGCUGGCGCGGAUAGAUGAGCCGAUGUCCGAUUAGCUAGUUGGCGGGGUAACGGCCCACCAAGGCGACGAUCGGUAGCUGGUCUGAGAGGACGACCAGCCACACUGGAACUGAGACACGGUCCAGACUCCUACGGGAGGCAGCAGUGGGGAAUAUUGGACAAUGGGGGCAACCUGAUCCAGCCAUGCCGCGUGGGUGAAGAAGGCCUUCGGGUUGUAAAGCCCUUUUGUACGGGAAGAAAAGCUGCGGGUGAAUAUCCUGUAGUCAUGACGGUACCGUAAGAAUAAGCACCGGCUAACUUCGUGCCAGCAGCCGCGGUAAUACGAAGGGUGCAAGCGUUACUCGGAAUUACUGGGCGUAAAGCGUGCGUAGGCGGGUGAUUUAAGUCUGAUGUGGAAUCCCCGGGCUCAACCUGGGAAUGGCAUUGGAAACUGGGUUGCUGGAGUACGGUAGAGGGUGGUGGAAUUCCCGGUGUAGCAGUGAAAUGCGUAGAGAUCGGGAGGAACAUCUGUGGCGAAGGCGGCCACCUGGACCAGUACUGACGCUGAGGCACGAAAGCGUGGGGGAGCAAACAGGAUUAGAUACCCUGGUAGUCCACGCCCUAAACGAUGCGAACUGGAUGUUGGGGGGAACUUGCCCUUCAGUAUCGAACGCUAACGCGUUAAGUUCGCCGCCUGGGGAGUACGGUCGCAAGACUGAAAACUCAAAGGAAUUGACGGGGGCCCGCACAAGCGGUGGGAAGUAUGUUGGUUUAAUUCGAUGCAACGCGCAGAACCUUACCUGGCCUUGACAUCCACGGAACUUUCCAGAGAUGGAUUGGUGCCUUCGGGAACCGUGAGACAGGUGCUGCAUGGCUGUCGUCAGCNNUCGUGUCGUGAGAUGUUNGGGUUAAGUCCCGCAACGAGCGCAACCCUUGUCCUUAGUUGCCAGCGAGUAGUGUCGGGAACUCUAAGGAGACCGCCGGUGACAAACCGGAGGAAGGUGGGGAUGACGUCAAGUCAUCAUGCCUUACGGCCAGGGCUACACACGUACUACAAUGGUGGGUACAAAGGGUCGCACAAGCGCGAGCGGAGCCAAUCCCAGAAAACCCAUCUCAGUCCGGAUCGCAGUCUGCAACUCGACUGCGUGAAGUCGGAAUCGCUAGUAAUCGCGGAUCAGCAAUGCCGCGGUGAAUACGUUCCCGGGACUUGUACACACCGCCC
Molecule: ribosomal RNA, 1376 nt
Filed under: uncultured bacterium
Lineage: Bacteria
Description: bacterial SSU rRNA
Rfam family: Bacterial small subunit ribosomal RNA
Source: RNAcentral